UCCUUGGGAGAAAAAAAUGUGAGCGCUCACACGAUUCCUUUCUCUGCGCGCCGCAAGCGGUGGCGCUGGGCUCGCUCCUCUUUUUCGCGCUCCCGUGCGCGCCGCGCCUCUCUAGCCCCUUGCUUCCUGCUCAGCAGCGCCUGCGAGUGCCCUCAGUAGCCAUUAUUCACCGGCCGCCGGGGGACAGGAGGUGACUUUCCUGGUUGUUCCUUGGUGUGUCCUCCAUUGCUAGGUUGAUGCCUGGUACAGAUUCUGUAAGUAUUUGGUGAUGAAUGAUGGUGAAUAAAUGAGGUUAAAUCA
This is a long non-coding RNA of Mesocricetus auratus (golden hamster), 300 nucleotides long. RefSeq lists it as uncharacterized. The record is from RefSeq and is a predicted model, not a curated record. The transcript has 2 exons. Lineage: Eukaryota; Metazoa; Chordata; Mammalia; Rodentia; Cricetidae.